This 116-nucleotide non-coding RNA is filed under the name Pontibacter lucknowensis. The record is from RNAcentral. Lineage: Bacteria; Pseudomonadati; Bacteroidota; Cytophagia; Cytophagales; Hymenobacteraceae.
GAGGGCAGGCCCCUCGGAGCCGGUAUUCAGGUGCAGGCUCCAAACCGCCUUGUGCGGCUGUGCUUAAAAGGCAUGGUCGUGAGCGACAAGGAAAAGUUACCGGAAAGGUAGCAGGU